Molecule: ribosomal RNA, 407 nt
Filed under: uncultured bacterium
Lineage: Bacteria
Description: partial 16S ribosomal RNA
Rfam family: Bacterial small subunit ribosomal RNA
Source: RNAcentral
AUUGAACGCUGGCGGCAGGCCUAACACAUGCAAGUCGAGCGGAGCUGCUGAAGGGUGAGUAAUGACUAGGCAUCUGACUUGUAGAGGAGGAUAAAGUCAGGAAACGAGCGCUAAUCGCGAAUAAUAUAAGAUGUGCCUACGUCUGAUUAGCUAGUUGGUUUGGUAAAGGCCUACCAAGGCGACGAUCCGUAACUGGUCAGAGAGGAUGAUCAAUCACACUGGAACUUAGACACGGUCCAGACUCCUACGGGAGGCAGCAGUGGGGCAUAUUGGGCAAUGGGCGAAAGCCUGAUCCAGCCAUGCCGCGUGUGUGAAGAAGGUCUUCGGAUUGUAAAGCACUUUAAGUUGGGAGGCGUUACCAACAGAAUAAGCACCGGCUAACUUCGUGCCAGCAGCCGCGGUAAUAC